CCUACGGGGGGCUGCAGUGGGGAAUAUUGGACAAUGGGGGCAACCCUGAUCCAGCCAUGCCGCGUGUGUGAAGAAGGCCCUCGGGUUGUAAAGCACUUUCAGUGAGGAAGAACGCCUGGUGGUUAAUACCCAUCAGGAAAGACAUCACUCACAGAAGAAGCACCGGCUAACUCCGUGCCAGCAGCCGCGGUAAUACGGAGGGUGCGAGCGUUAAUCGGAAUUACUGGGCGUAAAGCGCGCGUAGGUGGCUUGAUAAGCCGGUUGUGAAAGCCCCGGGCUCAACCUGGGAACGGCAUCCGGAACUGUCAAGCUAGAGUGCAGGAGAGGAAGGUAGAAUUCCCGGUGUCGCGGUGAAAUGCGUAGAGAUCGGGAGGAAUACCAGUGGCGAAGGCGGCCUUCUGGACUGACACUGACACUGAGGUGCGAAAGCGUGGGUAGCAAACAGGAUUAGAUACCCGAGUAGUC
Molecule: ribosomal RNA, 465 nt
Filed under: Vreelandella stevensii
Lineage: Bacteria; Pseudomonadati; Pseudomonadota; Gammaproteobacteria; Oceanospirillales; Halomonadaceae
Description: partial 16S ribosomal RNA
Rfam family: Bacterial small subunit ribosomal RNA
Source: RNAcentral